RNAcentral lists this ribosomal RNA (174 nucleotides) under Arabidopsis thaliana (thale cress). The record is from RNAcentral. Lineage: Eukaryota; Viridiplantae; Streptophyta; Magnoliopsida; Brassicales; Brassicaceae.
GGUUCAUCAAGACUUAAACAAAGAAUAGAUACGAUUGCAUUGCAUAUACUAACGGAUGCGAUCAUACCAGCACUAAUGCACCGGAUCCCAUCAGAACUCCGCAGCUAAGCGUGCUUGGGCGAGAGUAGUACUAGGAUGGGUGACCUCCCGGAAAGUCCUCGUGUUGCAUCCCUC